AGUGAACGCUGGCGGUAGGCCUAACACAUGCAAGUCGAACGGCAGCACAGUAAGAGCUUGCUCUUACGGGUGGCGAGUGGCGGACGGGUGAGGAAUACAUCGGAAUCUACUUUUUCGUGGGGGAUAACGUAGGGAAACUUACGCUAAUACCGCAUACGCCCUACGGGUGAAAGCAGGGGAUCUUCGGACCUUGCGCGAUUGAAUGAGCCGAUGUCGGAUUAGCUAGUUGGCGGGGUAAAGGCCCACCAAGGCGACGAUCCGUAGCUGGUCUGAGAGGAUGAUCAGCCACACUGGAACUGAGACACGGUCCAGACUCCUACGGGAGGCAGCAGUGGGGAAUAUUGGACAGUGGGCGCAAGCCUGAUCCAGCCAUACCGCGUGGGUGAAGAAGGCCUUCGGGUUGUAAAGCCCUUUUGUUGGGAAAGAAAAGCAGCAGGUUAAUACCCCGCUGUUCUGACGGUACCCAAAGAAUAAGCACCGGCUAACUUCGUG
Molecule: ribosomal RNA, 492 nt
Filed under: uncultured bacterium
Lineage: Bacteria
Description: partial 16S ribosomal RNA
Rfam family: Bacterial small subunit ribosomal RNA
Source: RNAcentral